This 468-nucleotide ribosomal RNA is filed under the name uncultured bacterium. Its description in RNAcentral is "partial 16S ribosomal RNA". It matches the Rfam family "Bacterial small subunit ribosomal RNA", at positions 28 to 507 of the family's 1533-position model. The record is from RNAcentral.
GACGAACGCUGGCGGCGUGCUUAACACAUGCAAGUCGAACGAUGAUGCCAGCUUGCUGGUGGCUUAGUGGCGAACGGGUGAGUAACACGUGAGCAACCUGCCCCUGACUUCGGGAUAACCGCGGGAAACCGUGGCUAAUACCGGAUAUGACGCGCUAUCGCAUGGUGGUGUGUGGAAAGAUUUAUCGGUUGGGGAUGGGCUCGCGGCCUAUCAGCUUGUUGGUGGGGUGAUGGCCUACCAAGGCGACGACGGGUAGCCGGCCUGAGAGGGUGACCGGCCACACUGGGACUGAGACACGGCCCAGACUCCUACGGGAGGCAGCAGUGGGGAAUAUUGCACAAUGGGCGCAAGCCUGAUGCAGCGACGCCGCGUGAGGGAUGACGGCCUUCGGGUUGUAAACCUCUUUCAGUAGGGAAGAAGGCCUUCGGGUUGACGGUACCUGCAGAAGAAGCGCCGGCUAACUACGUG